UGAGGAACAUGACCUUCGGCGGGGGAGUAGCCGGCCCAACGGCCGGGUAAUACCGCGUACGACCUCUCGGGGACAUCCCGGGUUGGUGAAAGCAGCAAUGCACCGAAAGAGUGCCUCGCGGCCUAUCAGCUAGUUGGUGGGGUAAUGGGCUCACCAAGGCGACGACGGGUAGCUGGUCUGAGAGGAUGGCCAGCCANAUUGGGACUGAGACACGGCCCAGACUCCUACGGGAGGCAG
RNAcentral lists this ribosomal RNA (237 nucleotides) under uncultured bacterium. RNAcentral's name for it is "partial 16S ribosomal RNA". It matches the Rfam family "Bacterial small subunit ribosomal RNA", at positions 118 to 351 of the family's 1533-position model. The record is from RNAcentral.